RNAcentral lists this ribosomal RNA (495 nucleotides) under uncultured bacterium. RNAcentral's name for it is "bacterial SSU rRNA". It matches the Rfam family "Bacterial small subunit ribosomal RNA", at positions 28 to 534 of the family's 1533-position model. The record is from RNAcentral.
GACGAACGCUGGCGGCGUGCUUAACACAUGCAAGUCGAACGAGGUCCACCGCGUAGCAAUACAAGGGAAGACCUAGUGGCGAACGGGUGCGUAACACGUGAGGAACUUGUCCCGGUCUCUGGGAUAACAGUUGGAAACGACUGCUAAUACCAGAUGACGUCGGAAUCUCGCAUGGGAUACUGACGAAAGGGUUACUGGAUCGGGAGAGCCUCGCGGCCUAUCAGCUUGUUGGUGAGGUAACGGCUCACCAAGGCGUCGACGGGUAGCUGGUCUGAGAGGAUGAUCAGCCACACUGGGACUGAGACACGGCCCAGACUCCUACGGGAGGCAGCAGUGGGGAAUCUUGCGCAAUGGGCGAAAGCCUGACGCAGCAACGCCGCGUGCGGGAAGAAGGCCCUCGGGUUGUAAACCGCAUUCAGUAGGACGAAAAUGACGGUACCUGCAGAAGAAGGUGCGGCCAACUACGUGCCAGCAGACGCGGUAAAGUAGUCGUGU